GGCAAAAUUCAUCAACCCAACAUGCAUCAGUUGACCCAGCAGCUGAGUUGUUUGUGCUUGGACCGUCAUCACGUUAACUCCUCCUCCACCAUUUCGCGCCCAGACAGGCUCCAAGCUCCUUCAGCAGCUCGCACAUGCUCGAGAGAGACUGAUCAUCUUUGAGAGGAGGGGAUUGAUGAGGAAAGUUUUCUUCUUUUAGAUGAGGCUACCAUCAACCAGUUGAUACCAAGAGCUGGACCUAGGCUGAAGUUCCUCCAAAAAUUUAGAAACUUUGUACGUAGUUGUUGGCAUUGUUAUUGUUAUUGUUGGCAUUCAGUUAUAAUAAAUUUCAAGGCAGUGCCUUGUAAAAAAUA
This is a long non-coding RNA of Astyanax mexicanus (Mexican tetra), 353 nucleotides long. RefSeq lists it as uncharacterized. The transcript is spliced from 2 exons. The record is from RefSeq and is a predicted model, not a curated record. NCBI's taxonomy places the organism in Eukaryota, Metazoa, Chordata, Actinopteri, Characiformes, Acestrorhamphidae.